GACGAACCGUCCGAACGUUAUUCGGAAUCACUGGGCUUAAAGAGUGCGUAGGCGGCUUAUCAGGCGGGAUGUGAAAUCCCUCGGCCCAACCGAGGAACUGCGUUCCGAACCGAUAGGCUUGAGGAGGAUAGAGGCGAGCGGAACUGAUGGUGGAGCGGUGAAAUGCGUUGAUAUCAUCAGGAACACCUGUGGCGAAAGCGGCUCGCUGGGUCCUUACUGACGCUGAGGCACGAAAGCCAGGGGAGCGAAC
Molecule: ribosomal RNA, 250 nt
Filed under: uncultured bacterium
Lineage: Bacteria
Description: partial 16S ribosomal RNA
Rfam family: Bacterial small subunit ribosomal RNA
Source: RNAcentral